Molecule: non-coding RNA, 28 nt
Filed under: Rattus norvegicus (Norway rat)
Lineage: Eukaryota; Metazoa; Chordata; Mammalia; Rodentia; Muridae
Source: RNAcentral
UNUCACUCUUCCUAGUGUGCUCUCAUGC